This is a long non-coding RNA of Calidris pugnax (ruff), 911 nucleotides long. RefSeq lists it as uncharacterized. The record is from RefSeq and is a predicted model, not a curated record. The transcript has 5 exons. Lineage: Eukaryota; Metazoa; Chordata; Aves; Charadriiformes; Scolopacidae.
GGGGAACCUCAUGCCAAGAACAAGUUGUGGCAGCAGAAGAGAUAUUGCAAUCCCUGACGCAAAAUGUUUCAAGUCAGAUGUCCCAACAGCAUUCUUACACCACUGGGCUGCAGGCACGAAUUAAAGAAGCCAGAGACAAAAUAGAGGCGGUCAUGGGUGACGUGAACAACAUCUUGUCCAAAUCUGAGGAGAGACCCUCAGAGAGGGAGGCUUUGCUCAAUUUUGAAGAAUCCCAGAAAGAACUUGAGGCCUCCGUUUCAAAGGCUAUGCAACUCGUCAGUCAAAAAAAAGUCCUGAAGAAUAUAUUGCAAGAUACGAGGAAGCUUUUGAUACUCUGGACAAUGAAGUUCUUGACAAAUUUUUGAAAGCAGCUGAACAAUUGAAAAAUAUUUCAUCUGAUCAUGAAAAGCUGGUAGUGGAAGAGAAGAGUACAGAUGUUCAUCAAAGAUGGAAGGCAGUUCAUAAUGAAAUUAUAUCCUGUGUCCAGCUUAUAAUAGAAAGGGAAAAAAAGAAUUUUAACACAACUUUAAAAAAAAUCAAUAAGCAAUUAGGCAAAGAGAAGAAACUCCUAAGUAUGGAUAGAACCAAAGAACUCAUCAAGGAACAUGAGGUACCUGCCACACUCCUUUUCUGCUCACCUACCUCUCUUUGUGAAUGACUUGUCUGUCCUUGUUCCUUUUUAGGCACACUUUUGCAGCUUGCGUUUGUGGAACUGGGUCCUUGUGCUUGGUGUCAUGUAAACACAGAACAAAAAGGCCACCCAAAUUAUUUCUUCACCUUUUUUGAGUGCAGAUGUUAGCCUUCUUGCAGACUUAUCGUCCACAAAACAAGAAGGAACUCCAUUGUUGCUUCUGAGAAUAGAGAAAAGCCCAGUUCUUCUCAACAAAUUGAUAUCCUUAUGGUACAGGAGG